CGCGCCGUCAUGGCGGCCGCCGCCUCUGCCGUUGCCAUGGCGAAGCGGAAGUGACCUCACGACGCAAGGGACGCUCAGAGCGGGCGGGAACCCGGCCGGGGGGAGGGGGCCGCGCAUGCGCAAUGCGCCCGCGCCGCCUGAGGGGGCACAAAAUGGCGGCCGGGGGUGGGGGCGUUGUCCUGUCGUCACGUCGCGAUAUCGCCACAACGCGUCGCGGGUUGGGGCUGCUGGGCGGGAAUGCGGCUCCCCGCGCCCUCCCGCGGCUCCUGAGAGGGGUUGGGGCUGGUGCGCGGCUCCCAGCAGCGCCUCAGGAGCUGCGGUCGCUUCAGGUCCAUCGGGUACCUUUAUUCAUUUUUUCUGGAGGGAUUUGCUGAUCGCUCGCAUUCACAUGAUCGUCUGAGUCAGAGACAGGAGACACAGCCACGCUGAGCACGAGCAGCGGAGAUCAGAACUUUUACUAGCACGUGUUUUCAGGCAUGAGCUCAAAAUCAAGCCUUUCCUUCACUCCCAAACUACCAAACUUUGAAGUUUUGCUGGUAAUAAGUCCUGCAGCCUAAGAGUUCAAUCGUGCAGCUGUAAGUAGUGUUGGCUCUCAUCGUUCUUCAGGGAUAUCUUCACUAAAACGCUUGUUUCUUUCACAGAUGUGCCUCCCCCUGGAAUCGCGGGGAAGGAGGAUGGAAGCUAGGACAGGUCUAGGUUCCAACACUUCUGAGACUGGCGCCAUGAGACAAAAUUCUUCACCCCGACCCCCCACAUCAGAAGGUUGUGGCAGAGAUCAGCUGCUCUGUUCCUCUCCUUUCUGUCUCUCAAGCUUUAAAGAGCAAAGAGUAACCGCAGAAAGGGAGCGCAGCACAAAAGAGGGGUGAAUGAUCCCAGCACGAAAUGAUUAUCACAGACAUGUAGGGUUUAUUUUAGGGCUGCCCCAGGAGCUCAUUUACAAAUUUCAGUGGAUCUGGCCACAAAGCUGCAGCCAGCUCUGAAAAACUCCACGUCGGAACAAUUUCCCUACUGUAAAAAGAAGAAAAUGUGAAUUUUUGUUGCUGAAAAAAAUACUGUUCGUUUUUUUUACUACUGGGACAAGACUUGAGCCUUUAACCCAGCCGGAAUAUUUAAAGAGGAACUGAAAAUAAAUUUGAGUUUUGAGACUUUUUGCUAAUUCA
Molecule: long non-coding RNA, 1160 nt
Filed under: Anser brachyrhynchus (Pink-footed goose)
Lineage: Eukaryota; Metazoa; Chordata; Aves; Anseriformes; Anatidae
Description: lncRNA (ENSABRG00000020858.1)
Source: RNAcentral